CGUCGAAACCUGGUCAGUAGUCAGCUAUAAAGUGGAGGCAUAUUUGCCUAUUCGGCAUUUGGAUGGAGGCACAUGUUUGCAUGGGAGCUCUGGCUGAAUGAAUCUUAUUACUUUUUGAGGCUUCUGGUUGUGCAUAUCCAUAUAGAACAAGAAGUUUAGCUGCUGUAUUUUUUUGGUCAUUAAGUUUAGCUGCUAGUUGAAUGUUGCAGCCUGAAGGCAAAAGGACACCUAACGAAACAAACUGAAGAUACUAUAAGAUGGAAUCAUAGCUCGAAAGGUGAAGUCACCAUAGCCUCGGUUUAUAAAUUGUUAACUCGAAGCAGUGAGAAAGAACAACUCCCAAUAUGGAAAACCAUAUGGAAAUGAAAAGGGAUGUAAAGAAUAAAAAUGCUCAUGUGGAGACUAGCCCAUGGGAGGAUCUUAACAGCAGGAAGAAGAGCUUGCAUGAUGGGGACAAAUCCAAACUGCCACUACUGCCCAAACCAGGCUGAGAUCCUUCUUCAUGCCUUCUGAGACUGCCCCCAAGCCGCGAGGACUUGGAUGCAACUCAUCCAACUGAAUGCAACAGCUAUUUUCUUUGGAAUCGAUAUGGCAAAUUGGAUAAGAAUGAAUAUGGAAAAUAAUUUAGGAGUAUCAUCUGUACAUUCUUGGAUUGAUGAAUUUUUUGUGACUUGCUGGGCGAUGUGGAAAUGGAGAAAUCAAGGGAAGAGGAAAGCGUCUAGAAAUGAUAUCCCCCCUAAUAGGGAUCGAGGAGUUUGGCACCCUCCAGCACAAGGGUGGUUGAAAUUAAAUACUGAUGGUGCUUUCGGGGAGACUCAAUGAUUCGGGUAGUGGAGGAUUGCUGAGAACUCAUGAA
This is a non-coding RNA of Arachis ipaensis, 856 nucleotides long. Lineage: Eukaryota; Viridiplantae; Streptophyta; Magnoliopsida; Fabales; Fabaceae. The record is from RefSeq and is a predicted model, not a curated record.